UGGGGAAUAUUGCACAAUGGGGGAAACCCUGAUGCAGCGACGCCGCGUGAGCGAAGAAGGCUUUCGAGUCGUAAAGCUCUGUCCUAUGAGAAGAUAAUGACGGUAUCAUAGGAGGAAGCCCUGGCUAAAUACGUGCCAGCAGCCGCGGUAAUACGUAUGGGGCGAGCGUUGUCCGGAAUUAUUGGGCGUAAAGGGUACGUAGGCGGUUUUUUAAGUCAGGUGUCAAAGCGUGGAGCUUAACUCCAUUAAGCACUUGAAACUGAAAGACUUGAGUGAAGGAGAGGAAAGUGGAAUUCCUGGUGUAGCGGUGAAAUGCGUAGAUAUUAGGAGGAAUACCGGUGGCGAAGGCGACUUUCUGGACUUUUACUGACGCUCAGGUACGAAAGCGUGGGGAGCAAACAGG
This 403-nucleotide ribosomal RNA is filed under the name Verrucomicrobiota bacterium. Its description in RNAcentral is "Verrucomicrobia bacterium partial 16S ribosomal RNA". It matches the Rfam family "Bacterial small subunit ribosomal RNA", at positions 355 to 776 of the family's 1533-position model. Lineage: Bacteria; Pseudomonadati; Verrucomicrobiota. The record is from RNAcentral.